RNAcentral lists this ribosomal RNA (495 nucleotides) under uncultured bacterium. RNAcentral describes it as "partial 16S ribosomal RNA". It matches the Rfam family "Bacterial small subunit ribosomal RNA", at positions 28 to 507 of the family's 1533-position model. The record is from RNAcentral.
GACGAACGCUGGCGGCGUGCCUAAUACAUGCAAGUAGAACGCUGAAGGAGGAGCUUGCUUCGCGGGAUGAGUUGCGAACGGGUGAGUAGCGCGUAGGUAACCUGCCUGGUAGCGGGGGAUAACUAUUGGAAACGAUAGCGAAUACCGCAUAAUAGUAGAUGUUGCAUGACAUUUGCUUAAAAGGUGCAAUUGCAUCACUACCGGAUGGACCGGCGUUGUAUUAGCUAGUUGGUGGGGUAACGGCUCACCAAGGCGACGAUACAUAGCCGACCUGAGAGGGUGAUCGGCCAGACUGGGUCUGAGACACGGCCCAGCCUCCUACGGGAGGCAGCAGUAGGGAGUCUUCGGCAAUGGACGGAAGUCUGACCGAGCAACGCCGCGUGAGUGAAGAAGGUUUUCGGAUCGUAAAGCUCUGUUGUAAGAGAAGAACGAGUGUGAGAGUGGAAAGUUCACACUGUGACGGUAUCUUACCAGAAAGAGACGGCUAACUACGUG